UAUUUUUAUUUUUUAUGAUCAAACCAGAAGCAGGAUCUCUGAAGACAAAAACCUCAAACCCUUAAAAUCAUUUCCUUCUUCUUUUUCCUGAUGAGUCUUUCUCUGAAUAGAUUAUUGAAUUCGCGUUCUGGGUUUCCUUGGAAACGGCGUUUUGGCCAUUUCUUCUCCUCAACAGCUGCCCACACCAGAUCUUUCUCACUGUACAGGAGGAUGUCCCCACUCUACUGGAGGAUUUUCCCACUAGGCGAUUCUAAGAUUUCCAUGGUUCCAGUCCUUGAUGAAUGGGUACAAAAAGGAAGGACGGUAAAUGAAGAAGAGCUUCGGGACAUUAUCCAGAAAUUGAAUCAUUACAGGCGCUUCAAGCAUGCUCUCGAGAUAUCUCAAUGGAUGAGUGAUAAAAGGUACAUUCCCCUGAUGCCCAGAGACAUUGCCCUCAGGAUGAACUUGAUCUUAAAAGUUCAUGGCCUAGAACAAGUAGAGAAUUAUUUUAACAACAUCCAUAAAAAUUUGAAAACCUACCAGGUUUAUAUUGCUCUUCUCAACUGCUAUGCUCUAGAGAAAUCUGUGGACAAAGCAGAAGCCAUCAUGCAGAGGUUGAGGGAUUUGGGUUUUGUUAGGACAGCACUAGGUUACAAUACUUUGAUGAAUGUCUAUUAUCGCAUGGGAAAUUGGGAGAAACUAGACAUCCUGAUGCAUGAAAUGGAGGAAAAGGGUAUCUUCUGUGACAAAUUUACCCUCGCCAUCCGACUGAGUGCAUAUGCAGCUGCCUCCAACAUCGUGGGAAUAGAUAACAUUGUGACAAGGAUGGAAUCGGAUCCCCGGAUUAUUCUAGAUUGGAAUAGUUAUGCAGUUGUAGCACAUGGAUAUUUGAAAGUUGGUCUGGUAGACAAGACUUUGGUAAUGAUGAAGAAAUUGGAGGAGCUGAUAGAUGCCAAAGGAAGUAAUGUUGCAUUUGAUAAUCUCCUCAAGCUAUACGCAGAAACUAGGCAGAGAGAUGAGUUGGACAGGGUUUGGAUGCUUUACAAGAAAAAGGAGAAAAUUUACAACAAGGGCUAUAUGGCCAUGAUAAGCUCGCUGUUGAAGUUUGAUGACAUUGAUGCUGCUGAGAAGGUUCUUGAGGAGUGGGAAUCCCGGAGAUUAUCCUACGAUUUCCGGGUUCCAAACUUCUUGAUUGAUGCAUAUUGCAGAAAAGGUCUUACAGAGAAGGCUGAGGCCCUUGUAAACAAGAUACUUACAAAAGGUGGCAAUCCUUUGGUUGAUACUUGGUUUUAUUUAGCAAAUGGUUAUCUUGAAGACAGUCAAAUUCCAAAAGCAGUGGAAGCAUUGAAGAAAGCAGUCGUGGUUUGUCCUCCCAAUUGGAAACCCAGCAAGAAUACUUUGGCAACUUGUUUGGAAUAUUUGGAAGGGAAUAGAGAUGUGGAAGGAGCAGGUGAGUUCAUAAGGUUCCUGCAAAAUGAGGGUAUUUUCUCAGUGGGUGUUUGCAAAAGAUUACUAAGUUACAUUGAGAAUGGAAAACCCCAACCCAACAGGCUUGGUGAAAUAGAAGGGGAUGUUUAGUCACGGAAGUGGAGAUACAUGGAAUCACAGAGCCAAGCAGAAGUGCAUGAUGAAAUUUUGAAGCAUUCCUAUUAUGGAUUUCAGAAGUCAAAAGCUUAGGUAGCUUAACUCAGUGUUUGUUCUGACAUUGUUGUGCCAGAAAAAGAUCCUCAAGGCACAAGGCGUCCUAAUUUAAUCAUGCAGUGGAAUGAUUAGGAACCGCAGGAAAGAUUUCCUGUGGCAUCCAUAUAUGGCUGUUAGCAUCCCAGUGUUGGGACAAUAUCACAGAAUGAUGUUAUCAUCAUUGUUCACCAAGUAGCAAGCAAGCAAGUGAUCAGGAGAAUGUUGGGGGAAAAAAUUCUCCUCUGCUUUUGCAGAACUGCAUCAACCCUUCAUUUAGCUGCAGACUUUUGGGUAUAGACACCAGUAUCAUAGGCUGCAGGAUGUUUAUCAUAGUUUUCUGCAAGUUGAAUAAGGAUUCUGUGUUGUUGUAUAUGGAUUACUUGAACCAAAUCUUGUUCAUUGGUCUGCCAUGCUUGCUCUGGUCCAUGUUUGUUGGAUGGGCAAUGGAUAUUCAACUUUGUUAGUAAGGCUGUAACGAGCAAGUUCAGCCAUUAUCUAAUGCUGUGUUUGGUUCCUAGUAAGCAUACAAGAAAAAAAUGCUAAAGAAAAUUAUUUUUUCA
Vitis vinifera (wine grape) is the source of this 2219-nucleotide RNA transcript. It is a transcript of the gene named pentatricopeptide repeat-containing protein At2g20710, mitochondrial, with no coding region annotated. Lineage: Eukaryota; Viridiplantae; Streptophyta; Magnoliopsida; Vitales; Vitaceae. The record is from RefSeq and is a predicted model, not a curated record. The transcript has 3 exons.